RNAcentral lists this ribosomal RNA (53 nucleotides) under Scedosporium boydii. RNAcentral describes it as "partial 28S ribosomal RNA". The record is from RNAcentral. RNAcentral also lists the same sequence under 1 other name. Lineage: Eukaryota; Fungi; Ascomycota; Sordariomycetes; Microascales; Microascaceae.
GUUUGACCUCGGAUCAGGUAGGGUUACCCGCUGAACUUAAGCAUAUCAAUAAG